This 254-nucleotide ribosomal RNA is filed under the name uncultured bacterium. Its description in RNAcentral is "partial 16S ribosomal RNA". It matches the Rfam family "Bacterial small subunit ribosomal RNA", at positions 543 to 793 of the family's 1533-position model. The record is from RNAcentral.
UACCGGAAUUACUGGGCGUAAAGCGCAUGCAGGUGGUUUGUUAAGUCAGAUGUGAAAGCCCGGGGCUCAACCUCGGAAUUGCAUUUGAAACUGGCAGACUAGAGUACUGUAGAGGGGGGUAGGAAUUUCAGGUGUAGCGGUGAAAAUGCGUAGAGAUCUGAAGGAAUACCGGUGGCGAAGGCGGCCCCCUCGGACAGAUACUGACACUCAGAUGCGAAAGCGUGGGGAGCAAACAGGAUUAGAUACCCUGGUAG